This 1756-nucleotide long non-coding RNA is filed under the name Thrips palmi. Its description in RNAcentral is "uncharacterized LOC117650632". Lineage: Eukaryota; Metazoa; Arthropoda; Insecta; Thysanoptera; Thripidae. The record is from RNAcentral.
CGCGGGGGGGCGCGGCCCCUACAGUUCCAUGGCCAGGAGCGGCCUGCCUCGCCGAGCACUCGGCCAAGCACCUCCCCGACGACGCGUCGAGCACUCCGAGCUGAAGCCUGAAACAGAACAGAGACACGCGUCUGAUACGUUUACUCGUCAACGCACGGCUAUGACGUCAUCGAAUUACGCAUCCCGUCAACGUGGGGCAGUACGUCCAAUUUGAUGAAACAUUGUGAGUUUCGCUAAUUCUUUGUCCGCCACGCCAACAUCCAAUCACAGCCGAAUCGACCUGUACAAUCGAUUCAGGCACCGCGAUGAAACGAUUAUCCUCGCUAACUGGCAAUCGUCGCCUCAUGAAUGGAAAAGUGUGCGCCGGACACGACAAUCGAGUCCGGUUGCUCAAUCAAGAUCGGGGCUCUGGCUUGUCCCGGCAACAGCGGCGACAGCCGAUCACCCGCACCGCGAGUCAAAUGGCCAGACUUGCUCUCUCCUUUCAGGAAGGCGAGACGAUGAAGACAAAACAGUUUCAUCGUUCUGCGACUCGGAAAAAAAAAAGUUUCCACGACAAACAGCAAAUUAACUGUCUAAAAUUUUCGAGAAAAUUUUAGUGAUGUUUUCAGGGUGAUGAUACGUCCGAAAAUACGAUUAUGAAGAUUGUAUAACCCGUCAAAUGUGCCGGAAAUGAUGUGGCGGAUCGAAAUCGAAGUCAACAGUUUUCGAACUCUUUUCUUCCUCGCUGGACCUUGUUUCUUGCCCAAACUGGAGGGGCGCGUCCGUACAUUUUUACGAUACGCUGACUGCAGCCGAAUCCUUUGGCAGAGUGAUUCCUGAACAGCGUUUCCAUCGCUCUGUCUCGCUCGCACCGCUGCUGAAGUCCCCCUAUGUGCAUGCGAAAGCGACCAGGAGACAGAGAGAGAGAGAGAGAGAGAGAGAGAGAGAGAGAGAGAGAGAGAGAGAGAGAGAAGGCGGCGAGCCGCGCAGUUAUUAUCGUUGCUUUUAAUCCGGGCGGGGUAAACACAGGGGCGGUCGGGAAGUGCCUCGCUGCCGCUCUGAAUCUAUCACCCCGACGGGGAUGGGACGAGCGGACAAAAAAAAAGAGAGAGAAAGAAAGAGAGGGGGGAGGGGAGGGAAGGAGGGAAGGGACAGAAAGUGCAGGUGCCACGCGAUCCCCUGGGCCCUGUUCGGCCCCGUUCCAUCGCAGCCCUAUUCCUGGUUUUAUAGCCAUUUAGCGUCCCGCUCGCCUUGCCGCCUCGGAGUGGUCCCGUCCUCGUUCCUCCAGGUCGCGGACGUCGCGGACGUCGCGAACGAGGAGGCACGCGGCACGAAGGGCGCACGAACGCGGCACGCUUCGAACCUUACGGGGUGUUUUGAGCAUGCGGAGCUACAAGCUAUUUUUAGUUUGUCAUGCGAAGAAAUAGUUCGUAAAUUACGAACGAUUUUCUUCGUGAGCUCGUGUGUGCUUUAAAAGAUGAGCGUGGACUUUUGGUACAGAAGUAUUGACGAAUACUGCAGGUGCCAGUUACGAAUUUGCACAUCGACCCCUUCUAAGAAAAACAUUGGCAGCUCGCCAGGGCGCCACUUGGUCGCGGAGCAUUCGCAUCACCUUGCUCAUGUUUCAGAGAGAUAGUGGUACUUUGAAAACUUCCGAAAACGCAUGACCGCCAAAGCCAUUGUGCUCCGGCCCUCGCCACCCCGCGCGUUCUCCCACGCCCGGCACCCCUACGGCACCCCGCCCCACCUCGUCACGCCUCUUCGCUCAGGGACU